Pieris brassicae (large cabbage white) is the source of this 358-nucleotide long non-coding RNA. RefSeq lists it as uncharacterized. The record is from RefSeq and is a predicted model, not a curated record. The transcript is spliced from 3 exons. NCBI's taxonomy places the organism in Eukaryota, Metazoa, Arthropoda, Insecta, Lepidoptera, Pieridae.
UAUUCUAAGCAAGAUCAAUGAAGUAUGGGACAUAAACUAGUUUAGAUAAUGAAUCAUCUAAUGUAUUUUUAUACGCAAUGGGUUGUAAACGUGGUAUAGGUGUGACUGACAUUUCACACCGUUAUGACACAAUGUGCCUACACAUGUGCAUUUUACACGUAUGACUUGUUAGUCGGUUGUGUAUUUCUACUUUUAAAAUUCGCUAGCUAAGUGUGCAAUAUGCUAUUAGUUCACUGGCAGUUGACGAGUUCUGAAGGAAUUUUUUUCUGGGACCAAAGAUCCAGUAUCUUGGUACAAAGCUAUUCCGCGUGCAAAUGCUGAAAUCAAUCCUAGUGCUGCUUGCGGUUUGUCUGCGGGA